This is a long non-coding RNA of Ipomoea nil (Japanese morning glory), 1582 nucleotides long. RefSeq lists it as uncharacterized. The record is from RefSeq and is a predicted model, not a curated record. The transcript has 4 exons. Lineage: Eukaryota; Viridiplantae; Streptophyta; Magnoliopsida; Solanales; Convolvulaceae.
UCAGAUUUAUAUGAUCUUCUGCUAUUCUUAGACCUUGACAGGAGGGUUUCACAGUUUUGGAUACAGUUUCGAAGAAAGCUAAGUUUUCCUAUUCUAACAGUUGAAUAUGUAAUAUUAGAUGCAUCAUUACAUGAUUAGAUGAUUGCAGUAGAUGAUUGAUUACAUGCUUUGAUAGUGUAUUUAAUGAAUUUCUUGAAGAAAUACAUUUUGUUGGACGACAAUGUUUCCUCUUGGAUCCAAUCGUGCAUGAAGAUGUAAUCUUCUUCAUGGUCUGCAAUAGCAAUGCUUUACCUACUGUGUUUUUUAUGAUUUGAGUUUAUUGUAUUCAGGCAACUGUUGUAAAUCAAAUAUUGUUGUCCAUGGUUUGGUAUUUAUAGAGCAGUUACAUGGGUUUGUCUUGGAAGACACUAAAGUGUGCUUAAUUAUUUAUGUUAUCAAUUACAUAGAGAACCUGAAAGGUUGCUGUUUGUUAUUAAUGUUAUAUGCAUUUUUUUCAAUUACAUGUGUGUUGUUAGGGUUUCCCAUGUGUGGUGUUACUGUUCCCAUUGAUCUUGAUAUCAAUUUUUCUGGGUAAUAUGUUCAAAAUUGGUUUUUUUAGAGUAUAUUUAACUAAAUCAUAAUCUAUAUAAAUUGUAAGUAGUUUAAAUUGGUUAGUCAUUGACUGAUUUGUAAUUUGGUAAUUCACUUUUUCUAAUUCUAUUUUUUUUUAGAACAUGUAUAAGCCAAUUUAAGUACACAUUAAUAAGAAAAAGUGUAUGCAAUUAUGCUUAAAUUUUUAUAACAUGUCCCAGUUAUUUAAAAACUGAUUUAGUUGCCAAUUUGAAUAAGUAUAUGAGUUUUCCUUUAUUUGAAAACACUAAAUAUUUAUUUUUUUGCAGGGCAUCUCGUAAAUUGGGGCAUCAAAUAAAAACUAAUAAUCUCUACCACUGCAAUAUGAGCCAAGCUGUUGAGGUUGAUGAUUUCGAAUAAAAUAUGCCUGUUGAUGAUUUCGAAUAAAAUAUGCCCCAAACUUAACAGUGGGAAUCCCACAGAGAUGUUCAAAUUUGUCUAAGAGACAGAGAAUACACAUUGGUGGUAAUGUAUUCUAUGUGUAACAGACAUAUAAUACACAUUGGUGGUAAUGUUUUGACAGCCCAAGAAGGUUUUGGCAAAGAAGUUCCACUUCCAUGUGCUUUGGCUACGGCUGUGGAGUAGAUAUUGGACGUUUUCCCUGCUGGUAGGCUCUAAUUCGACGCUGAUCCCUUUUCGGCGAGGCUUCAGGUAUAAUUCGGCUGAUCCCUUUUCGGCGAGGCUUCAGGUAUAAUUCGACGCUGCUCCGUUUCCGGCGAGACUUCUGGUAUAACUGCUGGCCUGCAUGACCUAGUAUUUGUAUUGAAGACUGAAACUUGAUAGUCUUUGCAUUGAAGAGAAAGUGAUGUAUAUAUAGAGAUUUAGAUAGAAUUGCUUCCCUAUCGUUAGUUAACGAAAGGGCAGAAAUCGAUUGGUCUGCAAUUAAUUACUUUGGAAAGACAAAUCCGGCUCUUCACCAUAAAUAUUAUAUGGGAAAAUGAAGAGUACACAGGGCUUAAACUUUUAAAUUGAA